Non-coding RNA from Podarcis lilfordi (Lilford's wall lizard), 2515 nucleotides. Lineage: Eukaryota; Metazoa; Chordata; Lepidosauria; Squamata; Lacertidae. The record is from the annotation of a GenBank genome assembly.
CAUUGAUCCGCUACGUUGCAGAGAACAGCCAGCAGAGGCGGCGGCAGCCGGGUUCAUCUAAGGUAAGGCGAGGGGCGGUCCUGUUGCAAAGGAGGAGCCUGCGAGGCGAGCAAAUCUCUCGCAGGCUGGCUGAUGAAUGUGACCGCGCUGGGUGCGUGUGUGUACUUCUUGGCAGGGAGACAAGAGCGGGGAGGGGAGGGGAGAGGACCGCAGUGCGUAACCCCCGGAUGGUGGAUGGAUGCGCCCCGCCUGUGGGGUGGGAGGCUGGGGGGAGCUUCCUUCCUGCCUGCUCUGCCCAGCCUCGCCUAGUAACAGUGCCCCCCCGUCGCCCCCUCCCAGGCACUGCCUUGCUCACUCACCUCCCUCCUUCUUCUCCUGUGACAAUGCAUCAACGUUCCAGCAUUUCACAGAGGAAAAGAGAGCCAAGCAGCUCUGCUUGUAACAGAAGGAGAUAAGGAGAGGCCAAAGGAACAUCUCGUUCAGCGCCUUGUUCUCCCUGAGGCCAACCAGAUGCCCCACGUGCGAAGCUGGCAAGCGGGACCCGAGAGUGCAAGAGAGCUCCCUUCCCUCGCGAUUCCCAGCCAAGGGAAUCCAGAGGUAUCUCUGUAGCCACCGAGAGCGUUAUUCACCAUCGAUUUGCCUAAUUCUCUUCUACAGUAAAGCCAUCCAAGUUGGUGGUGUUCACUGCUCUCCGUGGGAGCAAAUUUCAGAGUUUAACUAUGCACAGGGUGAAGAAGAACUUUCUGGUGGCCUGUCCUGAACUGGCCCCCUGGUCAGUUCUGUGACCGCUGUCCUGGGGCACAAUUAUUUAGGGUACGCCAAGGUGCAUCUGUAGCACAAAACUGGGCACCUUCAUCUGCCCCGGCUGCAACAAAACGUCUCUCCCACGUCGGUCUCUACAGCCCCAGCAGGAGCUGCAACCUUCCCACAAAGGCACAUUCCUUCAUUUCCUCCUGAAACAACAAGACUCUUAUGCCCUCACUGAGGUAGAGAGAGAGCGACACCACCUCCCGUUUGCCCUUCCCUGUCCUUCCUAUAAAGUUUGUCCCCAUAUACCACCAAUUCUCUCCAUUCCUCCAUGUUUCUGUUAUGCCCACUAUAGCUAUGUUGUCCUCUAAUCCCAAACACUCUAGACAGGUGCUCAGCUAAAAGUUUAUGCUUUGCGUUGAGUACUAUAUAAAACAAGGUAAAAGCUUGUUAAUGUGUUUUUUAAAGUUUUGAAAAAACUUUAGCCCAAGAGGCUAAACUGUCCUGACCCUUUCAAACUCCUGCUUUCUGGCAUUUGAGCCGCACACCCUGCUAUGAUUGGCUGCAGUCACAGCUGGGAAAAGCUAGCCAGGCAUAUAAAUUUAGAGCAACCAAGUGAAGGUGCUUUGGCUUUCUAAGUCUCAAGCUAACAGGCAAGUUCAGCAGCAGGCAAAGCUGGGGCUGACUCUUCUGCCCCUCUGCCCAUUGACCGAAUAAACCCCAAGCUUCCACAUUAAAUAAACCAAUAAAAGCCAGCCAGGGUGUGGGGUGUUUUCCAGUGUCUUGCUCAUUUUGCCACAUGUAUGACAACUGCCUAUAAAUUGUGGGCAUGUGCUCGGAUCCUCACCCUGAUCCAGGAGCCAGGCCAGCUCACCUUUCCCACACCUUGCAAAAGGUCCUCUCUCUGCCUGUUGUGUGUUCUGUUCAUGAUGGCUGCAUAAACACAGUGGGAUGUAGCCAAUCCUAGUCAUACUCUGACACAUUGGAAUUAAUGGACACGACUUAGGGCCAUUCAUUCCAAUGGGGCUGCUCUGAGCCACAGAAUCCUGGUAACAGUUGUUUACCCCUCACAGAGCUACAAUCCCCAGCAUGCCUAACAUGCCACAGUUACCAGAAUUCUUUGGGUGAAAGCAAUGUGUUUUAAAUGUAUGGUGUGCGCACAGCCUGACUCUGCAUGGGAGCUGCAACAAAGUGUUGCAGUAUAUCAUCACCAGUUCAGGGCUACAGCUUUGCAGCCAUGACCUCUUCUAUCCCAUUCGGUUCCCAUUUUCCCCAUUUUCAUCCUCCCUCACAAUUUAAGAAGGAUGUUGACAAGCUUGAAGAUGUGCAGAGGAGGAGGACCAAGAUGAUCAAAGGUCUGGAAACCAAGCCUGAAGAGGAGUGGUUGAAGAAGCCUGGGGAAUAGAAGACUGAGAGGAGAUAUGAUGGCCUUCUUCUUCUUCUUUUAAAUUUUAUUUAUACUUUUCAGAUAUACGUAUACAUUUCACUGACUGUGCAAUAAUUUUAACAUUUUAAAACUUGACUUUCUUCCCUCUAUUUCUGCAGUUCCUUAAAUUUAUUUUUAAUAUCUUCUGCAUAUCCAGAUUAACUUACUCAUUUAUUUAUCUUCUUUAAAUAGAUACACUUAUACACCUGCAGGUUAUUACAAUAAUCCUGCCAGUGUUUUUAUCUGUUUACAAUUUAUCUGCAAAUAUUCAAUAAAUCUGAGAAGAGAAGACUCCCUGGAAAAGACCCUGAUGUUGGGAAAGAUGGAGGGCACAAGGAGAAG